CUUUGUUGGUUCCCUCUCGGGACAAAGAGAGAGACCAAGCAGGUAACCCAGUUUCUAAAAAGAUCCUGAACUGAUACAUCUAAAAAUUACAGAAAUUCAUUCACAUUAAUUCCCUUCAGAGCAGCUGAAGUUCCCUUGACACUCAGCAAUUCUGCUGCUAAGCAGUGCCCAGCCUUUUUCAAAGAAGUUGCAGCUCAGAUUUCCCAGCUCUUGAGACAAGGAGGAUGUAAAGAAUGCUUCUCUGAUGGCAGACAGGCUGCAACAAUGACGGUGCAAUGGAACACUAUGUGCCACCUGUGACAAGAUGGCUGAUGUUCGUAUGAUGGGUCCUGCGCUUUUCUUGGGGGGCUGAGACGCCACCCUUUGCCCCUGCUCUUCGGCACCGAGGGCCCGCUAGUGGCCCGGGAAGGUGAUAAGAGGAGGGAAGUGGGGGAGGGGUCUGGGUUUGCUCCUCGCUCUGAGUCCCAGCCCCUCUCAACUCCUGUGAGUUUCUUAUUCUCUCCCCCCUUAGGUGGGGUUACCCUUGGUCCUUAGACAUUGGGGGGAGGGAGUCUCCCAGCCCUGCCAGGGCAGGGUCUCCUUUACUUUGGUUCUCUGGUCUUCCAAAUCUCACAACACGCCUCCAAGCUCCAGUCCUCUCUCCUUCCUCCACACUAUACACAAGCAUUAAUGAAAGAAAAGAGAAGUCCCAUUUCUGGCCCAGUCAGGCCCCACACCAACCUGCCACGCAGGGAGCACUUGCAAAGCACAGUAUGUUCUCCCAUAUCCUGCCCUGUGCAGCAGCACAGCAUCACUUCCAUUGCCAACGGGCUUGCCACACCCACAAAUAAAGGCAUGAUUUAGCCCUGAAAGGAAGCUUUUUCUUCUAAAGGGCAGAGUUAAGCCUCUUUAGCCCCCACAAAGUCUCUGGUAUUCCCUGCAGGGAGGGAGAGGCAUUUGUUUCACUUGAAUAGUCAAGUUCUCUUCCUCCUAUUACUAGAACAUGUGUUUGUCUUUGCACAAAUAUGUAAGUAGAUUUCAGUUCCUUUUAAUUAGAUGUCCAAGAUACAUUUCAUACAGGCAUGUGCAAGGUAUACUAGGAUGAAUAAGGUGGUUAGGGCCUUCAGAUCUCCUCAAUCUAGCUACAUUCUUAAAGCCCUUAUUCAUUGCACACCAUUCACUUAACCCAGAGUGCUGGCCUCUUCCAGAUCACACACACAAGUCAUUAUUGGGAUAUUCAGUGGGGAAACAAAGCAUUCCUCGCAGGCUUAAAGAUUUCACCUGUUUGAGAGGGAAAGCAGCAACGUUUUAAAGCUGCAGAACUUUCAAACUGGGAGAAAUCUUCUGGGUGUGCCUAUAAUGUACAUACCUGUAUACAUUUAAAAAACAGCUACUGAUUUUGGGAUCCUCCAUUUUUGGGCAGCCAGUUUGCAGUGCCUGAAGGAUGCCCAUCAAGGAAUGGUUGUUCAAAAGACUGAGCACCCUUAAAGUGUCUCAGGUUGGGCAGUGAAAAGGCGAGGUACCCAAAUUCACAAGUCAUUUUUUAAAAUGUAGGUCCUAUUCUUAUUGCAGGGAUCAGCAGGUGGUGCUCAGUUCUUUUUCCUUAUCAAUCAAGCAAGCAAGCCUUGGAAAAUAUGUUGUAUUGUUGGUUUUCUGAUGAAGUUUCUCUGGGGGAGCCAUGGCUAGCAGCAAGAGACUUUUCUCUCUGCCUUAAACUCCCUAAACUAUGGUCAAUUCCUGAGGUGAGAGUUGCUUCCUGGGGCCUGUGUAUUGGUGUUUGGGCUGAGCUGCCUGAGAGGUAGGCUGGGGAGU
This is a long non-coding RNA of Mauremys reevesii (Reeves's turtle), 1791 nucleotides long. RefSeq lists it as uncharacterized. Lineage: Eukaryota; Metazoa; Chordata; Testudines; Geoemydidae. The transcript is spliced from 3 exons. The record is from RefSeq and is a predicted model, not a curated record.